Orcinus orca (killer whale) is the source of this 1098-nucleotide long non-coding RNA. RefSeq lists it as uncharacterized. The record is from RefSeq and is a predicted model, not a curated record. NCBI's taxonomy places the organism in Eukaryota, Metazoa, Chordata, Mammalia, Artiodactyla, Delphinidae. The transcript has 3 exons.
AAGUGACCAGGCGGGGUGAGGGACUGUGAGGGGACAGUCUGAACGGUGUGGGCCGGGAGCGGGAGGCUGGGCUGCCCCAGAGGCUGGAGGCGCGAAAGCCGCGUGUGCGCGCGGCCUGCUAACGGCCUCCGGCGCCCGCCGCUCCCGUCCCAUCUUGGCCGCGCCGCCGCGGCCGCUCGGACCUGGGCUUCAGACUGGGUCGCGCGGGGAUCCCCCGUAUUUUCCAAGAAGUGGAGGUAAAGGGCGGGCCAGGUUUUCCCACCCAGAGUCUUCGAGGCCGUAGAGGUGCAGCGCCAGGCUUACAAGCUACUCCCGGUGACUUACCGACUUUCAUUUUGAGUAGAACUUGUGCUCUAGUCUGGGUUGCGUUUCUGGCUCGUCUCAGCCUCAGGAACCGGCAAAUAUAACUAGGUCCACGCUCCCUGAGAAUGUGGGAGACAUAAAAAUACUAUUGCUUUUAUUGAGAUGUAAUUGGCGUACGACACUGUAUAACUUUAAGUUUCAUUGAGAUAUAAUUGACAUACAACACUGUAAGUUUAAGGUGUACAGGAUAAUGACUUACAUAAGCUGUGAAAUGAUUACCACAGUAAGUUUGUUAACAUCCAUCAUCUCAUAUGUAUACAAAAGAAAAGAAAAAAAUGGCUUUUUUCUCAUGAGAACUUUAAGGAUCUAGUCUCUUAGCAGUUUUCAAAUAUACCAUACAGCAGUAUUAACUAUAGCCAUCAUGUUGUACAUUACAUCUCCAAUACUUACUAUCUUAUAAUUGGAAGCUUGUGUUUUUUGAGCACUUUCAUCCAUGUAAGUUCUUGAUUUCAGUUUUGUGGCUUACAGUGACUUCAGGAUCUAUAUGCAUGGAUCAGAGGUUAAGCUGUAUAAUGGCUUAGAGAAUCAGAAAUGUCCAAGUGACAAUUUCUGUUACUGUGCUCUUUCAUAAAUGUUAAGGGUAUCAUUCAGGGAAAGCUGAAAUUGUUAUGCAAGCUUUUAACAGGAAUUGGUGCAGAUAGCAUCCAUAGUAGGUUUUCAGCAUCUAGAAAUUUCACCCUUUGGCUUAAUAAUAAUAAUAAACAUGUUUUUGAAGUGUUAAAAGUGAAAAUUUAU